AGAAGGCAAGGCUGCUCUACAGCUGAAAAUGAUCUACGAACAAGUUUGGAGAGGCCUGUCUCCCUUUCUGUGCUCUCACAAUGCACAGAAGCUCUACCUUCCUCAACCCCAAUGAAAGCCACAGGCUGCAGAAGGCUCACUUCAUUGUGCUACGCAGUGGCAAAGCAGCAGAUCUCAGCAGAUUCAGAUUGGACCAAACAGAAGAGAUGGUGUCACUUCACAACACACUUGAGGUGUGUUCAGGUUUUGGCAUGGAAACCAGGUUUUUCAGAGGCUUGAAAGACCUCUCUCCUCCAUGUCAAUCAUACUUCACUGCUGCAACUUGCUGCUAUUUAACUUGCUGGUACCUGAUCUGGACACAUACAUACUACGAAACAGAGACCAUUCCAGCUGUCCUGAGAGUAAGUUAAGUGAUACUAACUGCAUUAACACAACCCCAGGAAAGAAGUUGGAUGCGCCACAGCUUCUGAAGAAAAUCUGCUUUAAUGUGAAAAGUGGUCACCACCUGAGAAAAGUGGGGAGGGAAAACAGGCGUGGGCUGUCAGCAGAAGGAGCAGCAGAGCUUCUGCUUCAGAUGAUGGAGAAUUGAGUCAGAUGUGUUGUAAAGAAAGGACAAGCAAACAGGAAGAACAGGCUGCCUGCUGGCUGCUCUGGCAUUCCAGAAGCUGAGUCAUAAGAAGGAGCACCGACAACAGGAAAAACUGAGCAGAAAUUUGUACUUCUGAUAUAUUCUCUAGCUUGCUUUCCCAUGGCUAAAACAUAAUCCAUUUCCUUGACCAACACAAUACAUAAUUGGUAAGAUCUACACACUGAAGGAGCACAGUGAUUAAAAUGGUUCUUAAGUUUGUUACCAAUACCACAAAUAUUUAAAUUAUAAACAACAUAAUUGUUUGAUUACUGAGGAACUUUUUUUAUUAUAAUUAUUAUGACUAAACUCAUUACCAAAGUUGAUUAUUUGUAAGUUCAGGAAUCCCAACAUCUUCAUUAUUCACAUCAACUACUUGAUCCAGGCUUCUUAUGCUCUCACUGGACUGCGAUACAAGGACUUCUGGAAAGCCUGACUUAAAUAUACCCUCAUAGCAGUGGUCUGCCUAGAAAAAAAGAGAGUUUCAUUUCAUAUGCUACAGAUUGGCAACUUCACAGCUCAUGACAGAACAAUGUUUCCACUGAUUGUAUUAUUAACUGCAUUUAAAAUCUGAAUUAAUAUUAAUAACACAGGGAGACUGAGCCCAUAGUU
This is a long non-coding RNA of Centrocercus urophasianus (Greater sage-grouse), 1237 nucleotides long. RefSeq lists it as uncharacterized. Lineage: Eukaryota; Metazoa; Chordata; Aves; Galliformes; Phasianidae. The record is from RefSeq and is a predicted model, not a curated record. The transcript has 3 exons.